CCUACGGGUGGCUGCAGUAGGGAAUAUUGGUCAAUGGAUGGAAGUCUGAACCAGCCAUGCCGCGUGCAGGAAGAAGGCCUUCUGGGUUGUAAACUGCUUUUGCCAGGGGAUAAAAAUUCUUUGCGAAGAAAAUUGAAGGUACCUGGUGAAUAAGCACCGGCUAACUACGUGCCAGCAGCCGCGGUAAUACGUAGGGUGCAAGCGUUGUCCGGAUUUAUUGGGUUUAAAGGGUGCGUAGGCGGCCUUGUAAGUCAGUGGUGAAAUACUCCAGCUUA
RNAcentral lists this ribosomal RNA (275 nucleotides) under uncultured bacterium. Its description in RNAcentral is "partial 16S ribosomal RNA". It matches the Rfam family "Bacterial small subunit ribosomal RNA", at positions 338 to 611 of the family's 1533-position model. The record is from RNAcentral.